UCCUUCUUAGCUCAGCUGGUAGAGCGCGUCACUAGUAAAAAAAUCACGUGAUUAAUCGCGGGCAACCAACUAGGCUAUGACGAGGUCAGUCGUUCAAGUCGGCUAGAAGGAA
Molecule: transfer RNA, 112 nt
Filed under: Galerina marginata CBS 339.88
Lineage: Eukaryota; Fungi; Basidiomycota; Agaricomycetes; Agaricales; Galerinaceae
Description: tRNA-Thr
Source: RNAcentral